CAGUAGCCGCGGUAACACGAAGGGGGCUAGCGUUGUUCGGAUUUACUGGGCGUAAAGCGCACGUAGGCGGAUCGAUCAGUCAGGGGUGAAAUCCCAGAGCUCAACUCUGGAACUGCCUUUGAUACUGUCGAUCUGGAGUAUGGAAGAGGUGAGUGGAAUUCCGAGUGUAGAGGUGAAAUUCGUAGAUAUCCGGAGGAACACCAGUGGCGAAGGCGGCUCACUGGUCCAUUACUGACGCUGAGGUGCGAAAGCGUGGGGAGCAAACAGGAUUAGAUACCCCGGUAGUCCCUGUCUCUUAUAC
Molecule: ribosomal RNA, 301 nt
Filed under: uncultured bacterium
Lineage: Bacteria
Description: partial 16S ribosomal RNA
Rfam family: Bacterial small subunit ribosomal RNA
Source: RNAcentral